Molecule: long non-coding RNA, 1837 nt
Organism: Vulpes vulpes (red fox)
Lineage: Eukaryota; Metazoa; Chordata; Mammalia; Carnivora; Canidae
Source: Ensembl
AGUAGCCUCCCCUUCCUGCACCGGCUCAGUGUGCACCGAAGAACCCAGUGGAAUGUUGACAGUUUCUUUUAGAUGUUGGGACAAACUGUAAUCAUGAAGCUUAGCGCCUGGAGUCUCGGUGCGCCCGGUGGUGGCUUGUAGGCACAAGUCCAGACUUUGUCUCUCUCCUUCCCCAGAUCUUUGCGGUCCAGCGGAACACGUGCAUNAGCGCCUGGAGUCUCGGUGCGCCCGGUGGCUUGUAGGCCCAAGUCCAGACUUUGUCUCUCUCCUUCCCCAUCUCUUUGCGGUCCAGCGGGACACGUGCACGGAAGCUCAGCUUCUGGGGCAGGCCCCUCUGAGCUGGAAGGCUGGAUGCAUCUCUCUGGUUUUUCUGUCUCUGGAGCCAUUGGGGAGCUCAGGGUUUGUCAUGUAUAGUGUCUGUCCCCAGGUUGGUACAGAGACGCUGCCUCCAGGGGAGAAGUUGUCUCUGUCUGGGUAGCAGAGACCCAUUUUGGGCACUUAACAAAAUGGAGAAAAGUGUUGAACAGACCAUUAUUAUUAUUAUUAUUAUUAUUAUUAUUAUUACUUUUUACAUAAAAGACUUUCCCCUGUGCCGUCAUGCAUUCUGGGACUCAGCAACCGAGAGCAGAAAAGUGAAAAAUGGACUGUCUUUUCCCUCCUAGACUCUCUGUUCACUCCAUCGCUGACAGUGAGUUAAAAAUACUUGGCUGGUGAGAAAGGUGAGAAAUGGAUGACUCAGUCCCUCCAAAUAAAGAAUCUGCCGCUGGAACGGAAGGCUGGUCAGAGCCAGCGCGCUGAGGAGUCGUUUUUAGGCCCUGUCCUGCGAGGCGACAUUCAAGACACAAUAAGCCGGACACUCGGCCAUGCCGGAAACGUUCAAGAACCGACGAACACCUGCCACCCAGAGAAGUGAAGCGCCCCGUGGAAUUCCUCUUACCUUUAGACGAGGUUAACGUGUUCUGUGGAAAAAGGAAAUACAAAAGAAAACAUGAGCCUUCACAUUGCAUGGAACGUUAGUUCCACUUUAAAGGUUUACAGGAGGCGUACGGACAGCCGACUUUGGGGCUAUCGGCAAAUACCAGCGUUAGAGAGAGGGCCGGGUCUCGCCCAGAGCACGUCGCACCUGAUUUCCGCUGGACUCGGGCACAAGGGCAACACCUCUCUCUACAGUCACUGGUAUGUGAGCUCAGACCAUGGUGGUUUUUUUCCCCUUGAUUGUUUUUAAGGUUUUUUUUUUUUUUUAACCUAAACCUAGAUGUUCAGGGUUUUAAAUCGUGUGCUCUGCUGGGGGUUGAGACGUGCGGCCCCAAAGAAGGCAUUCGAGCGAGAAGGCCGCACGUGGGCUGAUGACGCGGAAACAGGGGAAGCCCCGGCCCCUUGGCCCCAGCGCUGUCGCCCCCUGGUUAGGUAGUCCGGCCCGAUGCGAUGCGGAUCCUGAGCCUCGCCAGCUUUGAAUAUUAGGCUCUCAGGUGUCCGGGCGGUGUAGGAGUCACAGGAAACAACGAUCACGUGGGAAUCUGACUCCUUUGCAGAUUGGAACUUUCAGGAACAAAGAGACGUGCUCCCUUGUGUUGGCCGGAGGCUCACCCGAAGCUCCAGGUGCCGGAGGCUUUGACGGAUGCUCAGGGUCGCGGGGCCGCUGGCAGGUGCGCACGGGCUCCUCUGGGCCAUUUAAUUCCCUAUCAGUGGCUCCAUCUUGCUUGGAGGCUCACACCAGGACGCUGGUGGUCAUAUAAAUCAUCGUAGGUAAAAAUCAAUCAAUCAAUCAAUCAAUCAAUCAAUCAUCGUAGGUGACGGGAUCCUUCCCUCCUUAAUCACCGUCGAAUGCAAAGUGGUG